Molecule: non-coding RNA, 340 nt
Organism: Cinara cedri
Lineage: Eukaryota; Metazoa; Arthropoda; Insecta; Hemiptera; Aphididae
Source: the annotation of a GenBank genome assembly
GGACGACAAUUAAAGCGGCUCCGUGGUUUUUAAUCCCUAGUGCCGUUUUAUGGCGCGGAAUCAGCUACGCGUCAAACGCAUGCAAAUUUUUAGCCGUUUGCUGCCUCCGGUUAAAAACAUAACGCUCGUAUUAUUACGACCGCAGAGCACUUAUAUUCGCUAUCCUAUUGACACCCCGACUUCAUUUCCACCGUGUUAUAAGGCCGAUCUCGUUCCACAUUCGUGUCAUCUCUUCUUGACCGUCGCCGCUCUCGACUUUCCGACCAUCCGUCCGUAUUGAUUUUGUACGCAUAGAAAAUCGCCGGGCCUCAUACGCAAUACGACUGUGGUACGCGGUGUU